CGGUGUUUAACUGGCGUGAUGUGGGACGUCCUACCGGUGGGCUUAGCCUCGCGAGGGGCGGCCCAACUAAUAUCCCGUCGCGGUGCUCUUUACUGAGUGUCGAGUCGGGCCGGUACGUUUACUUUGAACAAAUUAGAGUGCUUAAAGCAGGCUAUCCUCGCCUGAAUACUGCGUGCAUGGAAUAAUGGAAUAGGACCUCGGUUCUAUUUUGUUGGUUUUCGGAACCCCGAGGUAAUGAUUAAUAGGGACAGAUGGGGGCAUUCGUAUUGCGACGUUAGAGGUGAAAUUCUUGGAUCGUCGCAAGACGGACAGAAGCGAAAGCAUUUGCCAAAAAUGUUUUCAUUAAUCAAGAACGAAAGUUAGAGGUUCGAAGGCGAUCAGAUACCGCCCUAGUUCUAACCAUAAACGAUGCCAGCUAGCGAUCCGCCGAAGUUCCUCCGAUGACUCGGCGGGCAGCUUCCGGGAAACCAAAGCUUUUGGGUUCCGGGGGAAGUAUGGUUGCAAAGCUGAAACUUAAAGGAAUUGACGGAAGGGCACCACCAGGAGUGGAGCCUGCGGCUUAACUUGACUCAACACGGGAAACCUCACCAGGCCCAGACACCGGAAGGAUUGACAGAUUGAUAGCUCUUUCUUGAUUCGGUGGGUGGUGGUGCAUGGCCGUUCUUAGUUGGUGGAGCGAUUUGUCUGGUUAAUUCCGAUAACGAACGAGACUCUAGCCUGCUAAAUAGGCGUACCUUAUGGUAUCGCGAAGGCCCCCGGCUUCGGCCGGUGGGUUUUUACUACCAACGUACAAACAAAUCUUCUUAGAGGGACAGGCGG
RNAcentral lists this ribosomal RNA (819 nucleotides) under uncultured eukaryote. RNAcentral describes it as "SSU rRNA". It matches the Rfam family "Eukaryotic small subunit ribosomal RNA", at positions 629 to 1426 of the family's 1831-position model. The record is from RNAcentral.